This 503-nucleotide ribosomal RNA is filed under the name Bactrocera aglaiae complex sp. AGL005. Its description in RNAcentral is "Bactrocera nr. aglaiae AGL005 partial large subunit ribosomal RNA". It matches the Rfam family "Bacterial large subunit ribosomal RNA", at positions 1799 to 2568 of the family's 2925-position model. The record is from RNAcentral. Lineage: Eukaryota; Metazoa; Arthropoda; Insecta; Diptera; Tephritidae.
CCUGUUUAACAAAAACAUGUCUUUUUGAGUUAUUUUUAAAGUCUGACCUGCCCACUGAAUUUUUUUGAAUGGCCGCAGUAUUCUAACUGUGCAAAGGUAGCAUAAUCAUUAGUCUUUUAAUUGAAGGCUGGAAUGAACGGUUGGACGAGGUAUAAGCUGUUUCAUAUAAAUUUAUAAUAGAAUUUUAUUUUUUAGUUAAAAAGCUAAAAUUUAAUUAAAAGACGAGAAGACCCUAUAAAUCUUUAUAUUUUAUUUUAUUUAAGUUUUUUAGAUUUAUUUUAUUUUUAUAAUUUAAAAUAUUUUGUUGGGGUGAUGUUAAAAUUUAAUGAACUUUUAAUGUUUAAAAAUCAUUAAUUUAUGUAUUGUUGAUCCAUUAAUAGUGAUUAUAAGAUUAAGUUACUUUAGGGAUAACAGCGUAAUUUUUUUGGAGAGUUCAUAUCGAUAAAAAAGUUUGCGACCUCGAUGUUGGAUUAAGAUACAAUUUUAGGUGUAGCCGCUUAAAU